Molecule: ribosomal RNA, 440 nt
Filed under: uncultured Allostella sp.
Lineage: Bacteria; Pseudomonadati; Pseudomonadota; Alphaproteobacteria; Rhodospirillales; Allostellaceae
Description: bacterial SSU rRNA
Rfam family: Bacterial small subunit ribosomal RNA
Source: RNAcentral
CCUACGGGUGGCAGCAGUGGGGAAUAUUGGACAAUGGGGGCAACCCUGAUCCAGCAAUGCCGCGUGAGUGAUGAAGGCCUUCGGGUUGUAAAGCUCUUUCGCCCACGACGAUGAUGACGGUAGUGGGAGAAGAAGCCCCGGCUAACUUCGUGCCAGCAGCCGCGGUAAUACGAAGGGGGCUAGCGUUGUUCGGAAUGACUGGGCGUAAAGGGCGCGUAGGCGGCGCAUCAAGUCGGGCGUGAAAGCCCCGGGCUCAACCUGGGAACUGCGUUCGAGACUGGUGUGCUAGAGUUCGGGAGAGGAGAGUGGAAUUCCCAGUGUAGAGGUGAAAUUCGUAGAUAUUGGGAAGAACACCAAUGGCGAAGGCAGCUCUCUGGACCGAUACUGACGCUGAGGCGCGAAAGCGUGGGGAGCAAACAGGCUUAGAUACCCGAGUAGUC